UGAUGUGAGGGCAAUGUGACUGCAAUGUCUGUCACACUCAUUGAUGACCAAGGUUGAUUUGGCUGGUCUGGCUGGCUGGCAGGUGUCCUUUUCCUCCCUUACUGUUCUGUGUGCAACCUUCCCAAACUUGCUCCAAGAAUGGCCACCUUGGGUAGACAGGUGUCAGGGGUAUACAAGUAACUGUGCCCCUUGCUAGAACUUGAAAACACACUCUUAAGUAAACUUAAGGUUUCUACCUUUCCUGAUAGCAUUGAUAACACAUACUGUUGCCAUCUUG
Cavia porcellus (domestic guinea pig) is the source of this 277-nucleotide unclassified non-coding RNA. Its record names the gene 7SK. It matches the Rfam family "7SK RNA". From Rfam's summary of the family: 7SK was discovered as an abundant small nuclear RNA in the mid-70s but a possible function has only recently been suggested. Two independent studies have found that 7SK RNA binds the CDK9/cyclin T complex (known as elongation factor P-TEFb). The record is from Ensembl. Lineage: Eukaryota; Metazoa; Chordata; Mammalia; Rodentia; Caviidae.